Molecule: ribosomal RNA, 396 nt
Filed under: uncultured bacterium
Lineage: Bacteria
Description: bacterial SSU rRNA
Rfam family: Bacterial small subunit ribosomal RNA
Source: RNAcentral
GUGUCAGCCGCCGCGGUAAUACGUAGGUGGCAAGCGUUGUCCGGAAUUAUUGGGCGUAAAGGGCGUGUAGGUGGGUAAUUAAGUCGUGUGUCUAAGUGCGGAGCUCAACUCCGUAUGGGCGCAGGAAACUGAUUAUCUUGAGUGCAGGAGAGGAAAGUGGAAUUCCCAGUGUAGCGGUGAAAUGCGUAGAUAUUGGGAGGAACACCAGUGGCGAAGGCGACUUUCUGGACUGUGUCUGACACUGAGGCGCGAAAGCUAGGGGAGCGAACGGGAUUAGAUACCCCGGUAGUCCUAGCCGUAAACGAUGGGUACUAGGUGUAGAGGGUAUCGACCCCUUCUGUGCCGCAAGCAAACGCUAUAAGUACCCCGCCUGGGGAGUACGGCCGCAAGGUUGAA